Molecule: ribosomal RNA, 543 nt
Filed under: uncultured bacterium
Lineage: Bacteria
Description: partial 16S ribosomal RNA
Rfam family: Bacterial small subunit ribosomal RNA
Source: RNAcentral
UGGGGAAUAUUGCACAAUGGGCGAAAGCCUGAUGCAGCAACGCCGCGUGAGUGAUGAAGGUCUUCGGAUUGUAAAGCUCUGUCUUUUGGGACGAUAAUGACGGUACCAAAGGAGGAAGCCACGGCUAACUACGUGCCAGCAGCCGCGGUAAUACGUAGGUGGCGGGCGUUGUCCGGAUUUACUGGGCGUAAAGGGUGCGUAGGCGGAUGUUUAAGUGAGAUGUGAAAUACCCGGGCUUAACUUGGGUGCUGCAUUUCAAACUGGAUAUCUAGAGUGCAGGAGAGGAGAAUGGAAUUCCUAGUGUAGCGGUGAAAUGCGUAGAGAUUAGGAAGAACACCAGUGGCGAAGGCGAUUCUCUGGACUGUAACUGACGCUGAGGCACGAAAGCGUGGGUAGCAAACAGGGUUAGAUACCCUGGUAGUCCACGCCGUAAACGAUGAGUACUAGGUGUAGGAGGUAUCGACCCCUUCUGUGCCGCAGUAAAACACAUUAAGUACUCCGCCUGGGAAGUACGAUCGCAAGAUUAAAACUCUAAAGUGAAUU